RNAcentral lists this long non-coding RNA (832 nucleotides) under Bos taurus (domestic cattle). Its description in RNAcentral is "long non-coding RNA NONBTAT011985". The record is from RNAcentral. Lineage: Eukaryota; Metazoa; Chordata; Mammalia; Artiodactyla; Bovidae.
CCAGUGUUUAUCUUAGCUUGCAUAAGGGCAUGUGUAUGUACAGUGAAAUGUGUAUUCUUGAUGUUUUUCCAAUAGCAGAAACUGAAUUCACACUGAAUUAGCAUGCUCUUGGGUGAUAUUGAUCAUGUGACAGAAAAACUGACAUAACUCUAAUGUGAGAAAUGUCCUUUUGUUCAUUCUUUAUGAAAAAAAUUUAAACACUAGUGCUCUUGUGUGCACUCUCCUGAAAGAUCUGUACAGAACCAAGCACUUGUUUAUACGUAUUAGUCUGUUGGAGAUAAUUACCAAAUAGGUUGAUUGUCCUAGUCUCAGACUGAAUGACUUUCUCUUUGCCCUAGUCACAAGGAAUUAAUAAACCUAGAUAGGAAUGUAUUUCCAUUCUCUCAGCUUACAAAUUUAAGUGGUUUAUGUCAGCGUUGACCCAAUUUAAGCCCAGUAAUGUCAGUUCUCCUUAUCUGAGCUCAAAUAGGAAUUAAGAAAUAUCCCGAAUGUUGAUGCUUAUCCAAGCAUUUGGGAAGUUAAAAGGGCAGAGGGCCAGACCAGCUCUAUCCUCUCUUCCUGCCAGUUGUUGCCCAUUUGCUGUGUUGAACUCUGUGUAAAGUUAUGCAUCAGUCUCUCUUUGCUAAAGCUUUCUGCAUGCCUUCUGCUCCCAAGUCUCUGGCUGCUUCUGCACAUACCCUGAACACAUUGUGCCUGUUUUCUAUGAUUGUGGAGAGUGAGUGAACAAGUUAAGUAUGUAGCACAGUUUUCCUUCUGGUAUUGGUCACAGUUAUAUUAGUGUCUAUCUACAUCUGUAUUCUAACAAUAUUCUGUAAUUAAAAGUAAAAUUUUU